CGUAGGUGGCAAGCGUUGUCCGGAUUUAUUGGGUUUAAAGGGUGCGUAGGCGGUUCCAUAAGUCAGUGGUGAAAUACGGCAGCUCAACUGUCGAGGUGCCAUUGAUACUGCGGAACUUGAGUACUGAUGAGGUAGGCGGAAUUGACGGUGUAGCGGUGAAAUGCUUAGAUAUCGUCAAGAACACCGAUAGCGAAGGCAGCUUACCAAGCAGUAACUGACGCUGAGGCACGAAAGUGCGGGGAUCAAACAGGAUUAGAUACCCUGGUAGUCCGCGCAGUAAACGAUGAUUACUCGAUGUUGGCGACACACAGCCAGCGUCUUAGCGAAAGCGAUAAGUAAUCCACCUGGGGAGUACGCCCGCAAGGGUG
This 368-nucleotide ribosomal RNA is filed under the name uncultured organism. Its description in RNAcentral is "bacterial SSU rRNA". It matches the Rfam family "Bacterial small subunit ribosomal RNA", at positions 526 to 896 of the family's 1533-position model. The record is from RNAcentral.